ACACGACUACAUUAGAUACCCGGCGUAGUCCUAGCCGUAAACGAUACUCGCUAGGUGUCGGCCACGGUGCGACCGUUGUCGGUGCCGUAGGGAAGCCGUGAAGCGAGCCACCUGGGAAGUACGGCCGCAAGGCUGAAACUUAAAGGAAUUGGCGGGGGAGCACCACAACGGGUGGAGCUUGCGGUUUAAUUGGAUUCAACGCCGGAAAUCUUACCGGGACCGACAGCAACAUGAAGGCCAGGCUGAAGACUUUGCCGGAUUAGCUG
Molecule: ribosomal RNA, 266 nt
Filed under: uncultured archaeon
Lineage: Archaea
Description: partial 16S ribosomal RNA
Rfam family: Archaeal small subunit ribosomal RNA
Source: RNAcentral